GUUAAGCGACUAAGCGUACACGGUGGAUGCCCUGGCAGUCAGAGGCGAUGAAGGACGUGCUAAUCUGCGAAAAGCGUCGGUAAGGUGAUAUGAACCGUUAUAACCGGCGAUGUCCGAAUGGGGAAACCCAGUGCAAUUCGUUGCACUAUCGUUAACUGAAUACAUAGGUUAACGAGGCGAACCGGGGGAACUGAAACAUCUAAGUACCCCGAGGAAAAGAAAUCAACCGAGAUUCCCCCAGUAGCGGCGAGCGAACGGGGAGCAGCCCAGAGUCUGAAUCAGCUUGUGUGUUAGUGGAACGGUCUGGAAAGUCCGACGGUACAGGGUGAUAGUCCCGUACACCAAAAUGCACAGGCUGUGAACUCGAAGAGUAGGGCGGGACACGUGGUAUCCUGUCUGAAUAUGGGGGGACCAUCCUCCAAGGCUAAAUACUCCUGACUGACCGAUAGUGAACCAGUACCGUGAGGGAAAGGCGAAAAGAACCCCGGCGAGGGGAGUGAAAAAGAACCUGAAACCGUGUACGUACAAGCAGUGGGAGCACCUUCGGGUGUGACUGCGUACCUUUUGUAUAAUGGGUCAGCGACUUAUAUUCUGUAGCAAGGUUAACCGUAUAGGGGAGCCGCAGGGAAACCGAGUCUUAACUGGGCGUUAAGUUGCAGGGUAUAGACCCGAAACCCGGUGAUCUAGCCAUGGGCAGGUUGAAGGUUGGGUAACACUAACUGGAGGACCGAACCGACUAAUGUUGAAAAAUUAGCGGAUGACUUGUGGCUGGGGGUGAAAGGCCAAUCAAACCGGGAGAUAGCUGGUUCUCCCCGAAAGCU
RNAcentral lists this ribosomal RNA (821 nucleotides) under Klebsiella pneumoniae. Its description in RNAcentral is "partial 23S ribosomal RNA". It matches the Rfam family "Bacterial large subunit ribosomal RNA", at positions 1 to 867 of the family's 2925-position model. The record is from RNAcentral. Lineage: Bacteria; Pseudomonadati; Pseudomonadota; Gammaproteobacteria; Enterobacterales; Enterobacteriaceae.